Molecule: ribosomal RNA, 1017 nt
Filed under: uncultured organism
Description: bacterial SSU rRNA
Rfam family: Bacterial small subunit ribosomal RNA
Source: RNAcentral
GAUGAACGCUGGCGGCGUGCUAACACAUGCAAGUCGAGCGAUGAGGCUCCCUUCGGGGGGUACAUCAGCGGCGAACGGGUGAGUAACACGUGGGUGACCUUCCCCAAAGACGGGGAUAACUCUUGGAAACAGGGGCUAAUACCCGAUGUGCUCAGCAGUUCACUCUGUUGAGUAAAGCUAUGGCGCUUUGGGAUGGGCCCGCGGCCCAUCAGCUAGUUGGUAGGGUAAUGGCCUACCAAUGCUAAGACGGGUAGGGGGCGUGAGAGCGCGAUCCCCCACACUGGCACUGAGACACGGGCCAGACUCCUACGGGAGGCAGCAGUGAGGAAUAUUGCGCAAUGGACGAAAGUCUGACGCAGCGACGCCGCGUGGGCGAUGAAGGCCUUCGGGUCGUAAAGCCCUUUUCUGGGGGAAGAGAAAGGACGGUACCCCAGGAAUAAGCCCCGGCUAACUACGUGCCAGCAGCCGCGGUAAAACGUAGGGGGCAAGCGUUAUCCGGAUUUACUGGGCGUAAAGAGCGUUGAGGCGGUUUUGUAAGUUGGGCGUGAAAGCCCUGGGCUUAACUCAGGGAAGCCGUUCAAUACUGCGAAACUUGAGGGCAGCAGAGGGAGGUGGAAUUCCCGGAGUAGCGGUGAAAUGCGUAGAUCUCGGGAGGAACACCAGUGGCGAAGGCGGCCUCCUGGGCUGCUCCUGACGCUGAAGGCGAAAGCUAGGGGAGCAAACGGGAUUAGAAACCCCGGUAGUCCUAGCUGUAAACGAUGGAUGCUAGGUGUGGGGGGUGUAGAUUCCCCUCCGUGCCGCAAUUAACGCGUUAAGCAUCCCGCCUGGGGAGUACGGCCGCAAGGCUUAAACUCAAACGAAUUGACGGGGGCCCGCACAAGCAGCGGAGCGUGUGGUUUAAUUCGAUGCUACACGAAGAACCUUACCUGGGCUUGACAUACAGGUAGUAGUGAAGUGAAAGCGGAUCGACCCUUCGGGGAGCCUGUACAGGUGCUGCAUGGCUGUCGUCAGCUCGUG